RNAcentral lists this ribosomal RNA (253 nucleotides) under uncultured bacterium. Its description in RNAcentral is "partial 16S ribosomal RNA". It matches the Rfam family "Bacterial small subunit ribosomal RNA", at positions 524 to 776 of the family's 1533-position model. The record is from RNAcentral.
UACAGAGGGGGCAAGCGUUGUUCGGAAUUACUGGGCGUAAAGGGCGCGUAGGCGGCCUCUUAAGUCGAACGUGAAAUCCCCGGGCUCAACCCGGGAACUGCGUCCGAUACUGGGGGGCUUGAAUCCGGGAGAGGGAUGUGGAAUUCCAGGUGUAGCGGUGAAAUGCGUAGAUAUCUGGAGGAACACCGGUGGCGAAGGCGGCAUCCUGGGGCGCUAUUGACGCUGAGGCGCGAAAGCCAGGGGAGCGAACGGG